AUGGCCAGGCUGUCUCCACCCGAGACUCAGUGAAAUUGAACUCGCUGUGAAGAUGCAGUGUACCCGCGGCAAGACGGAAAGACCCCGUGAACCUUUACUAUAGCUUGACACUGAACAUUGAGCCUUGAUGUGUAGGAUAGGUGGGAGGCUUUGAAGUGUGGACGCCAGUCUGCAUGGAGCCGGCCUUGAAAUACCACCCUUUAAUGUUUGAUGUUCUAACGUGGACCCGUGAUCCGGGUUGCGGACAGUGUCUGGUGGGUAGUUUGACUGGGGCGGUCUCCUCCUAAAGAGUAACGGAGGAGCACGAAGGUUGGCUAAUCCUGGUCGGACAUCAGGAGGUUAGUGCAAUGGCAUAAGCCAGCUUGACUGCGAGCGUGACGGCGCGAGCAGGUGCGAAAGCAGGUCAUAGUGAUCCGGUGGUUCUGAAUGGAAGGGCCAUCGCUCAACGGAUAAAAGGUACUCCGGGGAUAACAGGCUGAUACCGCCCAAGAGUUCAUAUCGACGGCGGUGUUUGGCACCUCGAUGUCGGCUCAUCACAUCCUGGGGCUGAAGUAGGUCCCAAGGGUAUGGCUGUUCGCCAUUUAAAGUGGUACGCGAGCUGGGUUUAGAACGUCGUGAGACAGUUCGGUCCCUAUCUGCCGUGGGCGCUGGAGAACUGAGGGGGGCUGCUCCUAGUACGAGAGGACCGGAGUGGACGCAUCACUGGUGUUCGGGUUGUCAUGCCAAUGGCACUGCCCGGUAGCUAAAUGCGGAAGAGAUAAGUGCUGAAAGCAUCUAAGCACGAAACUUGCCCCGA
RNAcentral lists this ribosomal RNA (796 nucleotides) under Salmonella enterica. Its description in RNAcentral is "partial 23S ribosomal RNA". It matches the Rfam family "Bacterial large subunit ribosomal RNA", at positions 2007 to 2802 of the family's 2925-position model. The record is from RNAcentral. Lineage: Bacteria; Pseudomonadati; Pseudomonadota; Gammaproteobacteria; Enterobacterales; Enterobacteriaceae. RNAcentral also lists the same sequence under 1 other name.